This 3937-nucleotide long non-coding RNA is filed under the name Salmo salar (Atlantic salmon). Its description in RNAcentral is "lncRNA (ENSSSAG00000090907.1)". Lineage: Eukaryota; Metazoa; Chordata; Actinopteri; Salmoniformes; Salmonidae. The record is from RNAcentral.
CUGAAAAUUGGCUUUUUUAAAUAAAUCUGGUAGCUCUCAAAAGAGUCUUUCCUUUACUGAGCAGUUCAUUUUCAGUGUGCUGCCUGCCUGCGAUCAGAGGAGUCUGCUUGUCUACCAUCAGAGGAGUCUGCCUGUCUGCCAUCAGAGGACUCUGUCUGCCUGCCUGCCUGCCUGCCUGCCAUCUGUCUCCCUGCCUGCCUGCCUGCGCCUGCCAUGUCACCAGAGGAGUAGAUCUGUGAAAAAUGAAGAGACCAGGGUUCAAUGUGUUUGUUUAUUUCCAACUUGCUAAAGUCUUCAUUCUGCUGACAGUCUGUAUGGGAUCAUACUGUUGCUACAUGAAGAAAACCUGUCAUCAAGAACAGGGUUGGUAAUGCACCAAUGUUCCUAUAUAGUCCAUACAUACCACUGAUGCUGAUGAAUGUUUUCCUUAAUCUAUCCGAUACAAUUAUUUAUUCCACUCUCUUGGUCUGGUUCUUUCCCUUUCCCUGUGUAUUCUAUCUUUCUCUGUCUGCAAAUCUCUCUCUCUCUCUCUCUUUCUCACUCUUCAAGUUUGUGUGAAAGAGAUGGAAAAAUGGUUGUUGUCCAUCAAUAAUGAUAAGCCACCAGGUAUAGACAACCUAGAUGGGAAACUAUUGAGCAUGGUAGCAGACUGCAUUGCCACCCCUAUUUUCCAUGUCUUUAACCUCAGCCUAAAUAAGUGUGUAUGUCCACAGGCAUGGAAAGAAGCUAAAGUAAUACCACUAACUAAAAAUAGUAAAGCACCCUUUGCUGGCUUGCGUACUAUUGUUUGUCCAGAUGAACGUGGUACCUUCAGGCAUUUGGAAAUUGCUCCCAAGGAUAAACCAGACUUGUGGAGGUCUCCAUUUUUUUCUGAGGUCUUGGCUGAUUUCUUUUAAUUUUCCCAUGACGUCAGGCAAAGAGGCACUGAGUUUGAAGGUAGGCCUUGAAAUACAUCCACAGGUACCCCUCCAAUUGACUCAAAUUAUGUCCAUUAGCCUGUCAGAAGCUUCUAAAGCCAUGACAUCAUUUUCUGGAAUUUCCCAAGCUGUUUAAAGGCACAGUCAACUUAGUGUAUGUACCAAAGUGCAGCGUGUGUGUCGUUCCACAUUUUAUUUUCAGCGUGAAACUAUGUGAUACAUAAACAAUAAACUGAACAAACAAAAACAACAAACCGUGACGUUUGAAACAUACACUACUCAAAGACAAUCUCCCACAAACCCAGGUGGGACAAACACCAACUUAAAUAUGACCUCCAAUUAGAGACAACGUUGACCAGCUGCCUCUAAUAGGAGAUCAUCCCAAACAAAGCCCAACAUAGAAAUACAAUACUAGAACAACCCAACAUAGAAAUACAAAACUAGAACAUGUAAACUUGGCUAAAGGGCAUAAGGACAACAAAGUCAAGGUAUUGGAGUGGCCAUCACAAAGCCCUGACCCCAAUCCUAUAGAAAAUGUGUGGGCAGAACUGAAAAAGUGUGUGCGAGCAAGGAGGCCUACAAACCUGACUCAGUUACACCAGCUCUGUCAGGAGGAAUGGGCCAAAAUUCACCCAACUUAUUGUGGGAAGCUUGUGGAAGGCUACCCGAAAUGUUUGACCCAAGUUAAACAAUUUAAAGGCAAUGCUACCAAAUACUAAUUGAGUGUAUGUAAACUCCUGACCAACUGGGAAUUUGAUGAAAGAAAUAAAAGCUGAAAUAAAUCAUUCUCUCUACUAUUAUUCUGACAUUUCACAUUCUUAAAAUAAAGUGGUGAUCAUAACUGACCUACGACAGAAUUUUUACUAGGAUUAAAUGUCAGGAAUUGUGAAAAACUGAGUUCAAAUGUAUUUGGCUAAGGUGUAUGUAAACUGGAUAUCUACAAGGCCAUGGAUAGGCAGAGCUGUGGAUUGGCAUUUCCCUGAUAACUGUAUUGAAGACACAUUUUAAAUGAAGAAGUUAGACAUUACAUUUGUGUCAUUGCUAAUUAUUUUCUCACAGGGAGUAGUUAUUUUAGAUUAGCUGAAUGUUUACUGAGGUUUGUACUUAAAUAGGACAACCCAUAUGUAUGAGAGCUGUUUUGGUAUCUUCCCUGUAUAAAGACUGGCUCAACUCUUAGUUUCUCAUGCAUUGCUGGAUCAAUAGGUAAGAACAGUCUUCAUCUGCAUCAGGGUUCAUUUGACACAUUGUAGAGUGAAGAGACCUGGGGGAUGUUUUUGGAAAGUGUUGGUGAUGUUUAACAGGACUGUCUCAUGGCAUGGAGACCUACUGUACUGUAAUGCUACACUGGAUGGAGCCCAGUGUUACGGAUUUGUGUGAGGAACUGUCCUUCCCUUAAAGACACGCAAGUAUCACAGGCUUGAUCGCCUCAUUCUGAAGGCUGUGGUCCUUUUAGUUCUGCAUCUGAAAUGUGAGAUGGGGUAAAUCAGUGGUGUGAUGACACACAGGCAACCAGCAUCACUGCUAGGAGGAGACCACCAGCUGACACUGACCCCAAGAUGAGCGCAAUGGUCCUAGUUGACAUGGUGGAGACGACAGCCAUUACAGAAUUACCCACCAAACCAGGACCAAGCAGCGGAGGAGGAAGGAGCAACAGGAGAACAGCUUGAUGGACUCAUGGACAUGGGAACAGAUACUGGACGGAGGGGACCAUGGACUCAGGCUGGGGAGUAUCGCCUCCCGCAGUGGGAGAUUGAAGCGGCGAGAGCGGAGAGGCGAUAUUAUGAGGAGAGAGAGCGCAACAAGCACGAGAGGCAGCCCCAAUCAUUUUUUUGGGGGGGGGGCACACAGGACAGUCGGCGGAGCCGAGGUCGGAACCAGAGCCAGUCGGGUUGACAUUGGAGGUGAGCGAGGGGAACGAGGCAGAGACUGUGAAGGAGUUAAUGGGGAGAUUAAAGGAGAGAGAGAUGAGAGAGCUGCUAGUUUGGUGCAUAAGGCACGGUAUCCGCCCUACGGAGCGUGUCGUUGAAAUGAUGUCACCUGAGGCAGCUCUCCAUACUCGUCCUGAGGUGCGUGCUGGUUGUCUGGUGAGGACUGUGCCUGCGCCCAGAAACAGGCCUCCUGCAUGUCUUCCCAGCCCUGCACGUCCUGUGCCUACGCCCAGAACCAGGCCUCCUGCAUGUCUUCCCAUCCUGGUCAAGCCCGUGCCUCCUCCACGGACCAGUCCUCCAGUGGGUCUCCCUAUCCUGGUCAAGCCCGUGCCUCCUCCACGGACCAGUCCUCCAGUGGGUGUCCCCAUCCUGGUCAAGUCCGUGCCUCCUCCUCGGACCAGUCCUCCAGUGGGUCUCCCCAUCCUGGUUCGUCCUGUGCCUCCUCCAAGGACCAGUCCUCCGGUGGAUCCCUCCACCCUGGUCUCUCCUGUGCCGCCUCCUCAGACCGGGCCUCCAGCUGGUCUCCCCAGCCUGAUGAGUCCAGGGCCUGCGCACAGAGCCAGGCCUCCAUGUCUCCCCAGCCUGGCCGGAGUGGCCGGCCGUGCCGGAUCUGCCGGAGUGGCCCGCCGUGCCGAAUCGACGCCAAGGGUGCAGCAAAGGCCACGUCCCGCACCUGAUCCACCUCCAGGUUAGGUGGGUUGGGGAGGGGGGGUGUAGCACAGUGCCGUCGUUGACGGCAGCCACCCUCCCUUCCCUCCCUUAUUGUUUAAGGGGGGAGACAUUUUUUGGGGGGGAUUUUUUGUUGUUUCGGUGUAGGUGCAUUCGGGGUAUGCACCUUUGAGGGGGGGUACUGUCACGUCCUGACCAGUAGAGGGUGUAGUUGGGUCAGGACGUGGCAGAAGAGAAGUGUGUAGGUUGAUUUGUUUCGUUUAUUUUGGCCGUGUGGCUUCCAAUCAGGCACAGCUGUAGAGGGUUGUUGCUGAUUGGGAGUCACACAUAAGUAGCCUACUUUUCCUUUGGGGUUUGUGGGUAAUUGUUCUUGUUACUGUGUUAAUCGUGACAGGACUGUUUUGGUUGUCUGUUUAUUGUAUU